RNAcentral lists this ribosomal RNA (430 nucleotides) under Pseudomonadota bacterium. RNAcentral's name for it is "Proteobacteria bacterium partial 16S ribosomal RNA". It matches the Rfam family "Bacterial small subunit ribosomal RNA", at positions 355 to 776 of the family's 1533-position model. The record is from RNAcentral. Lineage: Bacteria; Pseudomonadati; Pseudomonadota.
UGGGGAAUAUUGGACAAUGGGGGGAACCCUGAUCCAGCCAUGCCGCGUGUGUGAAGAAGGCCUUAUGGUUGUAAAGCACUUUAAGCGAGGAGGAGGGUACUGGUAUUAAUACUACCAGCUACUGGACGUUACUCGCAGAAUAAGCACCGGCUAACUCUGUGCCAGCAGCCGCGGUAAUACAGAGGGUGCGAGCGUUAAUCGGAUUUACUGGGCGUAAAGCGUGCGUAGGCGGCUAAUUGAGUCGGAUGUGAAAUCCCCGAGCUUAACUGGGGAAUUGCAUUCGAUACUGGUUAGCUAGAGUGUGGGAGAGGAUGGUAGAAUUCCAGGUGUAGCGGUGAAAUGCGUAGAGAUCUGGAGGAAUACCGAUGGCGAAGGCAGCCAUCUGGCCUAACACUGACGCUGAGGUACGAAAGCAUGGGGAGCAAACAGG